GGGGAUUAUUGCACAAUGGAGGAAACUCUGAUGCAGCGACGCCGCGUGAGCGAAGAAGGCCUUCGGGUCGUAAAGCUCUGUCCUAUGGGACGAUAAUGACGGUACCAUAGGAGGAAGCCCCGGCUAACUACGUGCCAGCAGCCGCGGUAAUACGUAGGGGGCGAGCGUUGUCCGGAAUGACUGGGCGUAAAGGGUACGUAGGCGGCUAGAUAAGUCAGAUGUGAAAGGCAUGGGCUCAACCUGUGUUAGCAUUUGAAACUGUUUAGCUUGAGUUAAGGAGAGGAAAGGGGAAUUCCUGGUGUAGCGGUGAAAUGCGUAGAUAUCAGGAGGAAUACCAGUGGCGAAGGCGACUUUCUGGACUUAUACUGACGCUGAGGUACGAAAGCGUGGGGAGCGAAC
Molecule: ribosomal RNA, 399 nt
Filed under: uncultured bacterium
Lineage: Bacteria
Description: bacterial SSU rRNA
Rfam family: Bacterial small subunit ribosomal RNA
Source: RNAcentral